This 497-nucleotide ribosomal RNA is filed under the name uncultured bacterium. Its description in RNAcentral is "partial 16S ribosomal RNA". It matches the Rfam family "Bacterial small subunit ribosomal RNA", at positions 28 to 507 of the family's 1533-position model. The record is from RNAcentral.
GAUGAACGCUGGCGGCGUGCCUAAUACAUGCAAGUCGAGCGAACGGACGAGAAGCUUGCUUUUCUGAUGUUAGCGGCGGACGGGUGGGUAACACGUGGAUAACCUACCUAUAAGACUGGGAUAACUUCGGGAAACCGGAGCUAAUACCGGAUAAUAUUUUGAACCGCAUGGUUCAAAAGUGAAAGACGGUCUUGCUGUCACUUAUAGAUGGAUCCGCGCUGCAUUAGCUAGUUGGUAAGGUAACGGCUUACCAAGGCAACGAUGCAUAGCCGACCUGAGAGGGUGAUCGGCCACACUGGAACUGAGACACGGUCCAGACUCCUACGGGAGGCAGCAGUAGGGAACCUUCCGCAAUGGGCGAAAGCCUGACGGAGCAACGCCGCGUGAGUGAUGAAGGUCUUCGGAUCGUAAAACUCUGUUAUUAGGGAAGAACAUAUGUGUAAGUAACUGUGCACAUCUUGACGGUACCUAAUCAGAAAGCCACGGCUAACUACGUG